GACGAACGCUGGCGGCGUGCCUAAUACAUGCAAGUAGAACGCUGAAGAGAGGAGCUUGCUCUUCUUGGAUGAGUUGCGAACGGGUGAGUAACGCGUAGGUAACCUGCCUUGUAGCGGGGGAUAACUAUUGGAAACGAUAGCUAAUACCGCAUAACAAUGGAUGACACAUGUCAUUUAUUUGAAAGGGGCAAUUGCUCCACUACAAGGUGGACCUGCGUUGUAUUAGCUAGUAGGUGAGGUAAUGGCUCACCUAGGCGACGAUACAUAGCCGACCUGAGAGGGUGAUCGGCCACACUGGGACUGAGACACGGCCCAGACUCCUACGGGAGGCAGCAGUAGGGAAUCGUCGGCAAUGGGGGCAACCCUGACCGAGAAACGCCGCGUGAGUGAAGAAGGUUUUCGGAUCGUAAAGCUCGGUUGUAAGUCAAGAACGGGUGUGAGAGUGGAAAGUUCACACUGUGACGGUAGCUUACCAGAAAGGGACGGCUAACUACGUG
Molecule: ribosomal RNA, 497 nt
Filed under: uncultured bacterium
Lineage: Bacteria
Description: partial 16S ribosomal RNA
Rfam family: Bacterial small subunit ribosomal RNA
Source: RNAcentral